UACGUAGGGUGCAAGCGUUAAUCGGAAUUACUGGGCGUAAAGCGUGCGCAGGCGGUUUUGUAAGUCUGACGUGAAAGCCCCGGGCUCAACCUGGGAAUUGCGUUGGAGACUGCAAGGCUUGAAUCUGGCAGAGGGGGGUAGAAUUCCACGUGUAGCAGUGAAAUGCGUAGAGAUGUGGAGGAACACCGAUGGCGAAGGCAAUCCCCUGGACCUGUACUGACGCUCAUGCACGAAAGCGUGGGGAGCAAACAGG
RNAcentral lists this ribosomal RNA (253 nucleotides) under uncultured bacterium. Its description in RNAcentral is "partial 16S ribosomal RNA". It matches the Rfam family "Bacterial small subunit ribosomal RNA", at positions 524 to 776 of the family's 1533-position model. The record is from RNAcentral.